AUUGAACGCUGGCGGCAUGCCUUACACAUGCAAGUCGAACGGCAGCACGGGAGCAAUCCUGGUGGCGAGUGGCGAACGGGUGAGUAAUAUAUCGGAACAUGCCCAGUCGUGGGGGAUAACGUAGCGAAAGCUACGCUAAUACCGCAUACGAUCUACGGAUGAAAGCGGGGGAUCGCAAGACCUCGCGCGAUUGGAGCGGCCGAUAUCAGCUUAGCUAGUAGGGGAGGUAAAGGCUCACCAAGGCGACGAUCUGUAGCCGGUCUGAGGGGACGACCGACCACGCUGGAACUGAGACACGGUCCAGACUCCUACGGGAGGCAGAAGUGUGGAGUUUUGGACAAUGGGCUGAAGCCUGAUUCAGCAAUGCCGCUUGCAGGAUGAAGGCCUUCGGGUUGAAAACUGCUUUUGUACAGAACGAAACGGCUCUUUCUAAUACAAGGGGCUAAUGACGGUACUGUAAGAAUAAGCACCGGCUAACUACGUGCCAGCCGCCGCCGUAA
RNAcentral lists this ribosomal RNA (500 nucleotides) under uncultured bacterium. Its description in RNAcentral is "partial 16S ribosomal RNA". It matches the Rfam family "Bacterial small subunit ribosomal RNA", at positions 30 to 523 of the family's 1533-position model. The record is from RNAcentral.